RNAcentral lists this ribosomal RNA (492 nucleotides) under uncultured bacterium. Its description in RNAcentral is "partial 16S ribosomal RNA". It matches the Rfam family "Bacterial small subunit ribosomal RNA", at positions 29 to 507 of the family's 1533-position model. The record is from RNAcentral.
AUUGAGCGCUGGCGGCAUGCUUUACACAUGCAAGUCGAACGGUAACAGGCCUUCGGGUGCUGACGAGUGGCGAACGGGUGAGUAAUGCAUCGGAACGUACCCAGAGGUGGGGGAUAACGCAGCGAAAGCUGUGCUAAUACCGCAUGUGAUCUGAGGAUGAAAGCGGGGGACCGAGCAGCAAUGUUUGGCCUCGCGCCUUUGGAGCGGCCGAUGUCGGAUUAGCUAGUUGGUGGGGUAAAGGCCUACCAAGGCGACGAUCCGUAGCUGGUCUGAGAGGACGACCAGCCACACUGGGACUGAGACACGGCCCAGACUCCUACGGGAGGCAGCAGUGGGGAAUUUUGGACAAUGGGCGCAAGCCUGAUCCAGCAAUGCCGCGUGCGGGAAGAAGGCCUUCGGGUUGUAAACCGCUUUUGGCAGGAACGAAACGGUGUCCGCUAAUAACGGGCGCUAAUGACGGUACCUGCAGAAUAAGCACCGGCUAACUACGUG